GCGCGAAAACUUUACAAUGCUGGCAACAGCGAUAAGGGAACCUCGCGUGCCAGGUUACAAAUCUGGCUGUCGAGAUGCCUAAAAAGCAUUUCAUAGCAAGGGCCGGGCAAGACCGGUGCCAGCCGCCGCGGUAACACCGGCGGCUCGAGUGGUAACCGUUAUUAUUGGGUCUAAAGGGUCUGUAGCCGGCCGGAUAAGUCUCUUGAGAAAUCUAGCAGCUUAACUGUCAGGCUUUUAGGAGAUACUGUCUGGCUCGAGGCCGGGAGAGGUGAGAGGUACUUAAGGGGUAGGGGUGAAAUCUUGUAAUCCUUGAAGGACCACCAGUGGCGAAGGCGUCUCACCAGAACGGACCUGACGGCAAGGGACGAAAGCUAGGGGCACGAACCG
RNAcentral lists this ribosomal RNA (387 nucleotides) under uncultured bacterium. RNAcentral's name for it is "bacterial SSU rRNA". It matches the Rfam family "Archaeal small subunit ribosomal RNA", at positions 339 to 726 of the family's 1478-position model. The record is from RNAcentral.